This 256-nucleotide ribosomal RNA is filed under the name uncultured bacterium. RNAcentral describes it as "partial 16S ribosomal RNA". It matches the Rfam family "Bacterial small subunit ribosomal RNA", at positions 524 to 776 of the family's 1533-position model. The record is from RNAcentral.
UACGUAGGGCGCAAGCGUUAUCCGGAAUUAUUGGGCGUAAAGAGCUUGUAGGCGGUUUGUCGCGUCUGCUGUGAAAAUCCGGGGCUCAACCCCGGACUUGCAGUGGGUACGGGGCAGACUAGAGUGUGGUAGGGGGAGACUGGAAUUCCUGGUGUAGCGGUGGAAUGCGCAGAUAUCAGGAGGAACACCGAUGGCGAAGGCAGGUCUCUGGGCAUUAACUGACGCUGAGGAGCGAAAGCAUGGGGGAGCGAACAGG